Molecule: ribosomal RNA, 477 nt
Filed under: uncultured organism
Description: partial 16S ribosomal RNA
Rfam family: Bacterial small subunit ribosomal RNA
Source: RNAcentral
UACACUCCUACGGGAGGCAGCAGUGGGGAAUAUUGCACAAUGGGCGCAAGCCUGAUGCAGCCAUGCCGCGUGUGUGAAGAAGGCCUUCGGGUUGUAAAGCACUUUCAGCGGGGAGGAAGGCGAUACGGUUAAUAACCGUGUUGAUUGACGUUACCCGCAGAAGAAGCACCGGCUAACUCCGUGCCAGCAGCCGCGGUAAUACGGAGGGUGCAAGCGUUAAUCGGAAUUACUGGGCGUAAAGCGCACGCAGGCGGUCUGUCAAGUCGGAUGUGAAAUCCCCGGGCUCAACCUGGGAACUGCAUUCGAAACUGGCAGGCUUGAGUCUUGUAGAGGGGGGUAGAAUUCCAGGUGUAGCGGUGAAAUGCGUAGAGAUCUGGAGGAAUACCGGUGGCGAAGGCGGCCCCCUGGACAAAGACUGACGCUCAGGUGCGAAAGCGUGGGGAGCAAACAGGAUUAGAUACCCCUGUAGUCCCAUGA